GACUUUUUUAUUAGUAAUAACUUAAUUUUAUUAUCAAGUUAAAAGGCUUGGUUAAUGUAGAGUGACAAGAAGACCCUAAGAUUUUUACAGGGUAGUUGUUUACUGGCUUGUGUGGUAGUAAAGAGGGUGAGUGAUUAUUUUGUUUAGCUGGGGCGGUUGGAAUAUUGUCUAUUUUGUAAUUUACUUUAAUGAUAGUAUUGUGUAUAUUAUUAUCCUUGUUGGAAGACAUGAUAAAUUACCUUAGGGAUAACAGCAUAAUCUUUUCUGAGAGACCGUAUUGACGAAGAGGUUUGUGACCUCGAUGUUGGAUUUGAAUAACUUUUAGGG
Molecule: ribosomal RNA, 327 nt
Filed under: Heterodesmus apriculus
Lineage: Eukaryota; Metazoa; Arthropoda; Ostracoda; Myodocopida; Cypridinidae
Description: partial large subunit ribosomal RNA
Source: RNAcentral